Molecule: ribosomal RNA, 460 nt
Filed under: uncultured bacterium
Lineage: Bacteria
Description: partial 16S ribosomal RNA
Rfam family: Bacterial small subunit ribosomal RNA
Source: RNAcentral
CCUACGGGAGGCAGCAGUGAGGAAUAUUGGUCAAUGGACGUAAGGCUGAACCAGCCAAGUCGCGUGAAGGAAGAAGGAUCUAUGGUUUGUAAACUUCUUUUAUAGGGGAAUAAAGGUAUCCACGUGUGGGUAUUUGCAUGUACCCUAUGAAUAAGCAUCGGCUAACUCCGUGCCAGCAGCCGCGGUAAUACGGAGGAUGCGAGCGUUAUCCGGAUUUAUUGGGUGUAAAGGGUGCGUAGGCGGAAAGACAAGUCAGCCGUAAAAUCCCCGGGCUUAACCCCCGCCCCGCAUUUGAACCUGGUGUUCUUGAGUGGUCGAGAGGCAGGCGGAAUGCGUAGUGUAGCGGUGAAAUGCAUAGAUAUCACGAAGAACUCCAGUUGCGAAGGCAGCAUGCCGGCGCCCAACUGACGCUGAGGCGCGAAAGCGUGGGGAGCAAACAGGAUUAGAUACCCCAGUAGUC